Molecule: ribosomal RNA, 955 nt
Filed under: Escherichia coli
Lineage: Bacteria; Pseudomonadati; Pseudomonadota; Gammaproteobacteria; Enterobacterales; Enterobacteriaceae
Description: bacterial LSU rRNA
Rfam family: Bacterial large subunit ribosomal RNA
Source: RNAcentral
GUGUGACUGCGUACCUUUUGUAUAAUGGGUCAGCGACUUAUAUUCUGUAGCAAGGUUAACCGAAUAGGGGAGCCGAAGGGAAACCGAGUCUUAACUGGGCGUUAAGUUGCAGGGUAUAGACCCGAAACCCGGUGAUCUAGCCAUGGGCAGGUUGAAGGUUGGGUAACACUAACUGGAGGACCGAACCGACUAAUGUUGAAAAAUUAGCGGAUGACUUGUGGCUGGGGGUGAAAGGCCAAUCAAACCGGGAGAUAGCUGGUUCUCCCCGAAAGCUAUUUAGGUAGCGCCUCGUGAAUUCAUCUCCGGGGGUAGAGCACUGUUUCGGCAAGGGGGUCAUCCCGACUUACCAACCCGAUGCAAACUGCGAAUACCGGAGAAUGUUAUCACGGGAGACACACGGCGGGUGCUAACGUCCGUCGUGAAGAGGGAAACAACCCAGACCGCCAGCUAAGGUCCCAAAGUCAUGGUUAAGUGGGAAACGAUGUGGGAAGGCCCAGACAGCCAGGAUGUUGGCUUAGAAGCAGCCAUCAUUUAAAGAAAGCGUAAUAGCUCACUGGUCGAGUCGGCCUGCGCGGAAGAUGUAACGGGGCUAAACCAUGCACCGAAGCUGCGGCAGCGACGCUGAUGCGUUGUUGGGUAGGGGAGCGUUCUGUAAGCCUGCGAAGGUGUGCUGUGAGGCAUGCUGGAGGUAUCAGAAGUGCGAAUGCUGACAUAAGUAACGAUAAAGCGGGUGAAAAGCCCGCUCGCCGGAAGACCAAGGGUUCCUGUCCAACGUUAAUCGGGGCAGGGUGAGUCGACCCCUAAGGCGAGGCCGAAAGGCGUAGUCGAUGGGAAACAGGUUAAUAUUCCUGUACUUGGUGUUACUGCGAAGGGGGGACGGAGAAGGCUAUGUUGGCCGGGCGACGGUUGUCCCGGUUUAAGCGUGUAGGCUGGUUUUCCAGGCAAAUCCGGAAAA